This 401-nucleotide ribosomal RNA is filed under the name uncultured bacterium. RNAcentral describes it as "bacterial SSU rRNA". It matches the Rfam family "Bacterial small subunit ribosomal RNA", at positions 356 to 773 of the family's 1533-position model. The record is from RNAcentral.
GGGGAAUAUUGCGCAAUGGAGGGAACUCUGACGCAGCGACGCCGCGUGAAGGAUGAAGGCUUUCGGGUUGUAAACUUCUGUCCUCAGGGAAGAGAAAGGACGGUACCUGAGGAGGAAGCCACGGCUAACUACGUGCCAGCAGCCGCGGUAAUACGUAGGUGGCAAGCGUUGUCCGGAAUUACUGGGUGUAAAGGGCAUGUAGGCGGGAAUGCAAGUUGGAUGUGAAAUACCAGGGCUCAACCCUGGGGGUGCAUCCAAAACUGUGUUUCUUGAGUACUGGAGAGGAAAGUGGAAUUCCUAGUGUAGCGGUGAAAUGCAUAGAUAUUAGGAGGAACACCAGUGGCGAAGGCGGCUUUCUGGACAGUAACUGACGCUGAGGCGCGAAAGCACGGGGAGCAAAC